Molecule: ribosomal RNA, 301 nt
Filed under: uncultured bacterium
Lineage: Bacteria
Description: partial 16S ribosomal RNA
Rfam family: Bacterial small subunit ribosomal RNA
Source: RNAcentral
CAGCAGCCACGGUAAUACGUAGGGUGCAAGCGUUAAUCGGAAUUACUGGGCGUAAAGCGUGCGCAGGCGGUUCUAUAAGACAGAUGUGAAAUCCCCGGGCUCAACCUGGGAACUGCAUUUGUGACUGUAGAGCUGGAGUGCGGCAGAGGGGGAUGGAAUUCCACGUGUAGCAGUGAAAUGCGUAGAGAUGUGGAGGAACACCGAUGGCGAAGGCAGCCCCCUGGGCCAAUACUGACGCUCAUGCACGAAAGCGUGGGGAGCAAACAGGAUUAGAUACCCGCGUAGUCCCUGUCUCUUAUAC